ACGUAUGGUGCAAGCGUUAUCCGGAUUUACUGGGUGUAAAGGGUGAGUAGGCGGUUAUGCAAGUCAUAUGUGAAAUUCUGGAGCUCAACUCCAGCGCUGCAUAAGAAACUGUGUAACUAGAGUACAGGAGAGGUAAGCGGAAUUCCUAGUGUAGCGGUGAAAUGCGUAGAUAUUAGGAAGAACACCGGUGGCGAAGGCGGCUUACUGGACUGAAACUGACGCUGAGUCACGAAAGCGUGGGGAGCGAACAGGAUUAGAUACCCUGGUAGUCCACGCCGUAAACGAUGAGUGCUAGGUGUUGGGAAGAGAUUCUCGGUGCCGCAGCAAACGCAAUAAGCACUCCACCUGGGGAGUACGACCGCAAGGUUG
RNAcentral lists this ribosomal RNA (369 nucleotides) under uncultured bacterium. RNAcentral's name for it is "bacterial SSU rRNA". It matches the Rfam family "Bacterial small subunit ribosomal RNA", at positions 525 to 896 of the family's 1533-position model. The record is from RNAcentral.